Molecule: ribosomal RNA, 468 nt
Filed under: uncultured bacterium
Lineage: Bacteria
Description: partial 16S ribosomal RNA
Rfam family: Bacterial small subunit ribosomal RNA
Source: RNAcentral
GACGAACGCUGGCGGCGUGCUUAACACAUGCAAGUCGAACGGAAAGGCCCUGCUUUUGUGGGGUGCUCGAGUGGCGAACGGGUGAGUAACACGUGAGUAACCUGCCCUUGACUUUGGGAUAACUUCAGGAUACUGGGGCUAAUACCGGAUAGGAGCUCCUGCUGCAUGGUGGGGGUUGGAAAGUUUCGGCGGUUGGGGAUGGACUCGCGGCUUAUCAGCUUGUUGGUGGGGUAGUGGCUUACCAAGGCUUUGACGGGUAGCCGGCCUGAGAGGGUGACCGGCCACAUUGGGACUGCGAUACGGCCCAGACUCCUACGGGAGGCAGCAGUGGGGAAUAUUGCACAAUGGGCGGAAGCCUGAUGCAGCAACGCCGCGUGCGGGAUGACGGCCUUCGGGUUGUAAACCGCUUUCGCCUGUGACGAAGCGUGAGUGACGGUAAUGGGUAAAGAAGCACCGGCUAACUACGUG